AGUGAACGCUGGCGGUAGGCCUAACACAUGCGAGUCGAACGGCAGCACAGUAAGAGCUUGCUCUUACGGGUGGCGAGUGGCGGACGGGUGAGGAAUACAUCGGAAUCUACUUUUUCGUGGGGGAUAACGUAGGGAAACUUACGCUAAUACCGCAUACGACCUACGGGUGAAAGCAGGGGAUCUUCGGACCUUGCGCGAUUGAAUGAGCCGAUGUCGGACUAGCUAGUUGGCGGGGUAAAGGCCCACCAAGGCGACGAUCCGUAGCUGGUCUGAGAGGAUGAUCAGCCACACUGGAACUGAGACACGGUCCAGACUCCUACGGGAGGCAGCAGUGGGGAAUAUUGGACAAUGGGCGCAAGCCUGAUCCAGCCAUACCGCGUGGGUGAAGAAGGCCUUCGGGUUGUAAAGCCCUUUUGUUGGGAAAGAAAAGCAGCAGGUUAAUACCCCGCUGUUCUGACGGUACCCAAAGAAUAAGCACCGGCUAACUUCGUG
Molecule: ribosomal RNA, 492 nt
Filed under: uncultured bacterium
Lineage: Bacteria
Description: partial 16S ribosomal RNA
Rfam family: Bacterial small subunit ribosomal RNA
Source: RNAcentral